This 1016-nucleotide long non-coding RNA is filed under the name Drosophila guanche. Lineage: Eukaryota; Metazoa; Arthropoda; Insecta; Diptera; Drosophilidae. The record is from RNAcentral.
UUUAAAUAAGUAUUCGAUGUGUUAAUUUAGUUUUAAGCAGAUUUACAGAUUAACAGCAGACUGAUUUCCUGCAUCGAUAUGCCCUACUAUUCCAAUAGAAGCGCUCUGUGACGCCAUCGACCAGCCCUGGUUUUACCAUCCCUACAAGCAUCCCAUCCCUUUCUAUCAUCUCAACCUCUUUUUGGCCAAAGAGAGUCAAGGGGGCACUGGCAACAGGCGCAACAAGCAUGCAUCUGUGUGUCCCCAAAGCACGAAAAAGUUUCCCGAAAGAGUGUGCGCUCUGUCUCUCUCGCUGUUGCUCUCUUUGGCUGCGCAUGAGUCGCAUUUAUGACGUCACAAGAGAAAAGCGUGUGCACGUCGGGGCAGCACGACGCCGUUUCAGCUGUUUUUACCCGCCGCCAGCCAGCCAGCAAGCACAUGGCGGGUCAUAAAAAUAAUACAUUUUCAUUCGUUUGCCUCGUUUUCCACAGUGCAGAGUGCCGCCGCCUCAGAGAAAAGCCCGCCCCGCCGCUCGGAGAAGCGAACGGUCGAGAGUAAAACGCGGCAUUUGGCUGCUGCUGCUGCCGCUGCUGAUUCAAUUCCUGUUCGGUGGAUUGGCUUUCAGUUUACUUUACGGAUUUUCCGAGUCAACAACGCAAGCAAGGCCAGGCAAAAGGACCAACGCGCCAUGUGGGGUUCGAUGGCCGUUUGCUGUUCCCGUUCCCGUUGCCGUUGCAGUUUUCCUCGUUUUUCCGGAUGCGUUGUGGCCACUGGCCAGUGCAGUGCCUUUCCUGGUGCCUUUUCCCUGGCUACUGACUAGUGGACGUGACUCCUUUGUUGUCCUGGCAACUUUCCCAGCACUAUCCGGGCCAACGUGGAAUCUUUUCGGUGAGUGAUAAAUGCAAAAAAUGUGUGCUGUUUUAUUAUAAUCAUAAUUAAAUGACAUGGAAAACGUUUUAAAGGCGGUUUAAGUCGUGAGGCUUAUGUUUGUUUGAUGCUUCCUACCAGCUAUCGAUUUUUGUAGCCGGCAAAAGUAU